Non-coding RNA from Triticum aestivum (bread wheat), 119 nucleotides. Lineage: Eukaryota; Viridiplantae; Streptophyta; Magnoliopsida; Poales; Poaceae. The record is from Rfam.
CGAGGAAGGAAGCAUGGUAAUGGGCGUGCUGCACGCAGAUUGACUGAACUCGGUCUGCAUGUCUGCUCGCCCUGACGCCCUCGGGCUUUGAUCUGCGGACCUAGAUUUGACUCAGACUU